UACGUAGGGCGCAAGCGUUAUCCGGAAUUAUUGGGCGUAAAGGGCGCGUAGGUGGUUCUGUAUGUCUACCGUGAAAGCGUACGGCUCAACCGUAUUUUGUCGGUGGAAACUGCAGGACUUGAGGCUGGGAGGGGCUGGUGGAAUUCCCUGUGUAGCGGUGAAAUGCGCAGAUAUCAGGAAGAACACCAAUGGCGAAGGCAACUCUCUGGGACGGUACUGACGCUGAGACGCGAAAGCGUGGGGAGCAAACAGG
RNAcentral lists this ribosomal RNA (253 nucleotides) under uncultured bacterium. RNAcentral's name for it is "partial 16S ribosomal RNA". It matches the Rfam family "Bacterial small subunit ribosomal RNA", at positions 524 to 776 of the family's 1533-position model. The record is from RNAcentral.